This 442-nucleotide ribosomal RNA is filed under the name uncultured bacterium. RNAcentral's name for it is "partial 16S ribosomal RNA". It matches the Rfam family "Bacterial small subunit ribosomal RNA", at positions 338 to 795 of the family's 1533-position model. The record is from RNAcentral.
CCUACGGGUGGCAGCAGUGGGGAAUAUUGGGCAAUGGGCGCAAGCCUGACCCAGCAACGCCGCGUGAAGGAAGAAGGCUUUCGGGUUGUAAACUUCUUUUAAGAGGGAAGAGCAGAAGACGGUACCUCUUGAAUAAGCCACGGCUAACUACGUGCCAGCAGCCGCGGUAAUACGUAGGUGGCAAGCGUUGUCCGGAUUUACUGGGUGUAAAGGGCGUGUAGCCGGGCUGACAAGUCAGAUGUGAAAUUCCGGGGCUCAACCCCGGACCUGCAUUUGAAACUGUUGGUCUUGAGUACAGUUGAGGUAGGCGGAAUUCGUGGUGUAGCGGUGAAAUGCUUAGAUAUCACGAAGAACUCCGAUUGCGAAGGCAGCUUACCAAACUAUAUCUGACGUUGAGGCACGAAAGCGUGGGUAGCAAACAGGAUUAGAUACCCCAGUAGUC